UAGCUGCUUAUACUGUGAACUGCGAAUGGCUCAUUAAAUCAGUUAUAGUUUAUUUGAUGGUACCUUACUACUCGGAUAACCGUAGUAAUUCUAGAGCUAAUACGUGCGCACAACCCGACUUCUGGAAGGGUCGUAUUUAUUAGAUCAAAGACCGACCGGCUUGCCGACCCUCGGUGAAUCAUGAUAACUUCACGAAUCGCAUGGCCUUUGUGCCGGCGAUGUUUCAUUCAAAUUUCUGCCCUAUUAACUUUCGAUGGUAAGAUAGAGGCUUACCAUGGUGCCGAUGGGUGACGGGGAAUUAGGGUUCGAUUCCGGAGAGGGAGCCUGAGAAACGGCUACCACAUCCAAGGAAGGCAGCAGGCGCGCAAAUUACCCAAUCCCGACACGGGGAGGUAGUGACAAGAAAUAACAAUACUUGGCUCUUACGAGUCCGGUAAUUGGAAUGAGUACAAUCUAAACCCCUUAACGAGGAUCCAUUGGAGGGCAAGUCUGGUGAAAUAGCUGUUUGACGCCAGAGAUAGUAGGGCAACCGAAAAGGUUGUUAAGCCUGCUAGUCGAGCAGUCAAUGAUGUGGGUCGGGUUGACUGCCGGCAAGGUGACCUGGUACGGGGAAGGCCUUCACCCUCGCAGAGGGAGGCUAAUCCCGUGGCGAGGCCGAGUAGAGCGAUCUUCUCAAGCCCGUCGUAACGCACGGUAAGGCACCGGCUGACUCAAUUGAGUUGGCUCAAGGGACGUGCUAAACCCACACGAUGACAAAGUGUGCUCUGAACAAUAGCUCCCGAUCAGCGAAGGUUCAGAGGGGUGAUGGUGUGUUGAGGAAAUGCUUCACACUAUAUCCGGUAGUAGUUGGCCAGCAGCCGCGGUAAUUCCAGCUCCAAUAGCGUAUAUUUAAGUUGCUGCAGUUAAAACGCUCGUAGUCGGUCUUCGGGAGGGCUGCUUCGGUUCGCCUUGUGUGAUACUGUCGCAGCCCUCUUUACUGCUGGUGCCUGGCUCCUGGGCUUCACUGUCCGGGACUAGAAGUCAGCAUUGUUACUGUGAGAAAAUUGGAGUGUUCAAAGCAAGCAAACGCUAUGCACACUUUAGCAUGGAAUAACGAUUAUUGGACUCGCGUCCAGUCGUUGGUCUAUGGUCUGCGAGUAACGACCAAUGGGGGCGAUCGGGGGCAUUCGUAUUGCAGUGCUAGAGGUGAAAUUCUUGGAUUUCUGCAAGACGAACAGCUGCGAAAGCGUUUGCCAAGGGCGCUUUCGUCGAUCAAGAACGAAAGUUGGGGGCUCGAAGACGAUUAGAUACCGUCCUAGUCUCAACCAUAAACGAUGCCGACUAGGGAUCAGCGAGGGUUCAAUCAACGACCUCGCUGGCACCUCAUGAGAAAUCAAAGUGUUUGGGUUCCGGGGGGAGUAUGGUCGCAAGGCUGAAACUUAAAGGAAUUGACGGAAGGGCACCACCAGGCGUUAAAGAACAUUAGCUCUAGCGCCAGUGAGUUGGCAACAACUUGCUAGUCCUUUUAUUGAAGGGCAAGACUGUCAAAUUGCUCGAAAGUCCUAAAGCCCUGCUUACCAAACUGUCUCCCGAAAGGGGUCAGUGGCCAAGGUGAUGAAGCCUUGGGUACGGUGAUAACAGCAGGGAUGCAACAAUGGAUGAUGAGCAGCCAAGUCCUAAGGGUCUCCGGAUCUACGGAUGCAGUUCACAGACUAAAUGGCAGUCGGCCAAUACUACCUGCGGUGGUUGGCUUAAGAUAUAGUCGGUCCCCACUGAGAGGUGGCCUCUAGGAGGAUGCAUGCUUCCACGAGCAGCUGAGAGCCUAGAGGGUACGGCAGUAAUACACACUGGGGCAACCCAGCGUGGGCUUAGACGGCCUGUCUUGCGGAGUACACGGGAGCCUGUGGCUUAAUUUGACUCAACACGGGAAAACUUACCAGGUCCAGACAUAGUGAGGAUUGACAGAUUGACAGCUCUUUCUUGAUUCUAUGGGUGAAAUAGUGUUUGCACUUACUGCCCAUCAAAGCAGCUGUCCGGCAAAUCACCGGGGAAAGCAGACUGCUAGUUGGCUCAUGUCCGCUUUGGUGAGGGCAUGUGGCUGGCAAGACCAUCGAAUUGCGGGGACACCCUUAGAGCCUGUACUACCAAGCUGUUUGCUGAAAGGCGCAGUGGCCGGGAUAAUGACCUUGGGUAUGGUAAAAACGUACAGGAUUGGGCAAUCCGCAGCCAAGCUCCUACGUGCUGAUGCAUAUGGAGAAGGUUCAGAGACUAGGUGGUGGUCGGUUCCCGUUGUACGAGGAGCUUAAGAUAGAGUCCGUCCACACCGAAAGGUGUACUUGAGAGGAAAGCCCUGAACCGGGGCCGGAGCUCAAGUGUGAUGUGCACGUAAGUAUGAACCCGUAUGCUAUGAAAGUGAUUGAUAGAUGAGUAGACAUGUAGCUGGUUAUCUGACUAUGCAAGUGUCUCCACAUCUGUCCAGUCACAUGGCAUCAAUCAAUUGCGUGCAUGUUGCGGGUUGUACGGGUGGUGCAUGGCCGUUCUUAGUUGGUGGGUUGCCUUGUCAGGUUGAUUCCGGUAACGAACGAGACCUCAGCCGCUAAAUAGUCACUUCCAGUUCGCUGGUCGGUAGACUUCUUAGAGGGACUUUCACCGUCUAGGUGAAGGAAGCGUGAGGCGAUAACAGGUCUGUGAUGCCCUUAGAUGUUCUGGGCCGCACACGCGCUACACUGACGCAACCAACGAGCACUCCUAGGCCGGAAGGCCCGGGUAAUCUCUAAUCUGCGUCGUGAUGGGGAUAGAUUAUUGCAAUUAUUAAUCUUCAACGAGGAAUGCCUAGUA
This 2817-nucleotide ribosomal RNA is filed under the name Willea vilhelmii. RNAcentral describes it as "partial small subunit ribosomal RNA". The stretch from base 1 to 1613 matches the Rfam family "Eukaryotic small subunit ribosomal RNA". The record is from RNAcentral. Lineage: Eukaryota; Viridiplantae; Chlorophyta; Trebouxiophyceae; Chlorellales; Oocystaceae.